Molecule: long non-coding RNA, 875 nt
Organism: Myotis myotis
Lineage: Eukaryota; Metazoa; Chordata; Mammalia; Chiroptera; Vespertilionidae
Exons: 2
Source: RefSeq, a predicted model, not a curated record
AAGGCCAGAAGCUGCUCCUCGCUGGGUGGGUCCUGGUGCCCCUGCAGGAGGCUGGGUUGAGGGCCUUGGCAUCCCUGGGCCUUGCCCCGCCAGCCUGGCCAUACUGCUCCUGCGAGCGGCAAGCCCGGGAAGGAAGAGUUAACCAGAAAUGGAGCGGCACUGCUCCGGGGCAGGCAGCCUCGCUGCAGAACAGAGCAGCGUUCGUGCAAAGGCAAGUCAUUUCCCGAAACACUGCAGACACACGGCCUCGGGCAGCCUAAAACCUUUGGAGACCAAAAUGGCUCGCAGGGGUUGGAAGUAAUAAGGCAGCUCUGUGGCGCGGUGAGGCUGGCUGGCUGAGGGGUGCCCGGCUCGGUCUGGAGCAGACUCUGCGAUCCCCGGACGCGGCAGGAUUAGCUGGGGCAGAACACGACCUAUUUCUCCAUUGGAGAGUUUUAGGAAUCCUUGAAGAUGACUUUCAAAACUGGGAUCUAGGGCCGUCUCCAUUGUAACUCGAGAGAAAUGGCCUGAGCUGAUUCUGAACAGAAUGUUAUAAUCCAAUCUGUUAUGCCUAAUGCAGCUCGCAUAUAAUUAUUACUACUCUCGGCUCACAACAGCAGCAAAAUCAGCUUCCCCUCAACAAACAACAGAGCAGCGGGCCAGCCACCUCCAAAAUGACAUCUGUUAACUCUUUGUCGAAUGCCCUUUCACUGUUCCUUUCUCCCAAACAGCUCUGUGGCUAAUUACAACCUGAGCAAAUGACACAGCCUUUGGAGUGAAGAGAACUGCUUAGGGGCAGGGGGAAAUCUCCCUCCAAGAAAUUCUCUUCUCUCUCCUUUAAAAAAAAUAAAAGCCAUAGCAAAUUGUCUUAAAAUAAACAUUCAUUUGUAGCACUA